This 347-nucleotide ribosomal RNA is filed under the name uncultured Anaerolineaceae bacterium. RNAcentral describes it as "bacterial SSU rRNA". It matches the Rfam family "Bacterial small subunit ribosomal RNA", at positions 1023 to 1382 of the family's 1533-position model. Lineage: Bacteria; Bacillati; Chloroflexota; Anaerolineae; Anaerolineales; Anaerolineaceae. The record is from RNAcentral.
UUCGGGAGCUGUCAGGUGCUGCAUGGCUGUCGUCAGCUCGUGUCGUGAGAUGUUCGGUUAAGUCCGCUAACGAGCGCAACCCUCGCUGUGUGUUACAAGUGUCACACGGAACUGCCGGUCAUAAACCGGAGGAAGGUGGGGAUGACGUCAAGUCAGCAUGGCCUUUAUAUCCUGGGCUACACACACGCUACAAUGGGAAGGGACAAUAGGUUGCGAAGCCGCGAGGUGGAGCCAAUCCAGCAAAACUUCCCUCAGUUCAGAUUGCAGGCUGCAACUCGCCUGCAUGAAGUUGGAGUUGCUAGUAAACGCAGGUCAGCCAUACUGCGUUGAAUACGUUCCCGGGGCUU